RNAcentral lists this ribosomal RNA (1370 nucleotides) under uncultured prokaryote. Its description in RNAcentral is "partial 16S ribosomal RNA". It matches the Rfam family "Bacterial small subunit ribosomal RNA", at positions 46 to 1401 of the family's 1533-position model. The record is from RNAcentral.
GCCUAAUACAUGCAAGUCGAACGGCAGCACAGUGUGUAGCAAUACACAUGGGUGGCGAGCGGCGGACGGGGGAGUAACGCGUAGGAAUCUGCCCAGUAGCGGGGGAUAGCCCGGAGAAAUCCGGAUUAAUACCGCAUACGCCCUACGGGGGAAAGGAAGGGACCUUCGGGCCUUUCGCUAUUAGAUGAGUCUGCGUCGGAUUUAGCUAGUUGGUAGGGUAAAGGCCUACCAAGGCGAUGAUCCGUAGCUGGUCUGAGAGGACGAUCAGCCACACUGGGACUGAGACACGGCCCAGUCUCCUACGGGAGGCAGCAGUGGGGAAUAUUGCACAAUGGGCGCAAGCCUGAUGCAGCCAUGCCGCGUGUGUGAAGAAGGCCUUAGGGUUGUAAAGCACUUUCAAUAGGGAAGAAAGCCUGGUUGUUAAUACCAAUUCAGUGUGACGUUAUCUAUACAAGAAGCACCGGCUAACUCCGUGCCAGCAGCCGCGGUAAUACGGAGGGUGCGAGCGUUAAUCGGAAUUACUGGGCGUAAAGCGCGCGUAGGCGGAUAGGUCAGUCGGAUGUGAAAGCCCCGGGCUUAACCUGGGAAUUGCAUUCGAUACUGCCUGACUAGAGUAUGGUAGAGGGAAGCGGAAUUCCGGGUGUAGCGGUGAAAUGCGUAGAUAUCCGGAGGAACACCAGUGGCGAAGGCGACAUUCUGGGUUAAUACUGACGCUGAGGUGCGAAAGCGUGGGUAGCAAACAGGAUUAGAUACCCUGGUAGUCCACGCCGUAAACGAUGUCUACUAGCCGUUGGAAUCCUUAGAGGUUUUAGUGGCGCAGCUAACGCAAUAAGUAGACCGCCUGGGGAGUACGGCCGCAAGGCUAAAACUCAAAUGAAUUGACGGGGGCCCGCACAAGCGGGGGAGCAUGUGGUUUAAUUCGACGCAACGCGAAGAACCUUACCUACUCUUGACAUCCUCGGAACUCGGCAGAGAUGCCUUGGUGCCUUCGGGAACCGAGUGACAGGUGCUGCAUGGCUGUCGUCAGCUCGUGUCGUGAGAUGUUGGGUUAAGUCCCGUAACGAGCGCAACCCUUGUCCUUAUUUGCCAGCACGUAAUGGUGGGAACUCUAAGGAGACUGCCGGUGAUAAACCGGAGGAAGGUGGGGACGACGUCAAGUCAUCAUGGCCCUUACGAGUAGGGCUAUACACGUGCUACAAUGGCCGGUACAGAGGGCUGCGAAGUCGCGAGGCGGAGCGAAUCUCAGAAAACCGGUCGUAGUCCGGAUUGGAGUCUGCAAUUUGACUCCAUGAAGUCGGAAUCGCUAGUAAUCGCGAAUCAGAAUGUCGCGGUGAAUACGUUCCCGGGCCUUGUACACACCGCCCGUCACA